AUGAUUCAGACUUCGAUCUUGAAAAGUAUCAAGAAGCACAAGACCCGAAUGCAGAAUGACGGAAGCAAAAUGCAGAAUGACGCAAUCAAAGAUGCUUCAAGCUCACUUAUUGCUACUAUACUAUUACCAUUUAGAAAAAAAAAAUGGCCAACCUUUUCCUUUUUGACUUCUUGGACAAAAUGUGUCGGAAGUCUCAUUUUCCUCUCUAUAUAAUGCCUAUUGUAGUUUUGAAGAAGG
RNAcentral lists this long non-coding RNA (237 nucleotides) under Salvia miltiorrhiza (redroot sage). Its description in RNAcentral is "long non-coding RNA (SMIL_LNC004246)". The record is from RNAcentral. Lineage: Eukaryota; Viridiplantae; Streptophyta; Magnoliopsida; Lamiales; Lamiaceae.